CUCAAGCUCCCCAAAAUAAAAACUUUUUACAGAAAAAGUGCCAAUUCUAGAUUGUCACACUACUGAUUCCGUUGCUUUCUUAUGACCUCCAAGUUCCAUUGGGUUGAAGGGACUUGGUUCUGAAGUGUGUCGAUUUUCUUGUAUUGAAAGUUGCUCAUGGAAGCAGGAGAAGUGGCAGCUACAAGAUCAGGAGCACUUGGUUGGCCAUGUCGCUUCUUUCUCCUCUUUUGGAAAGAAAUGCAAGUUAUUUUGAAAAGAAAGAGAGACAGAGAGAACGGACACAUUAUUUCUGCACCAUCUGUUGCAGGCAUACAUCAGCUUUAGUGUUAAAUACAUUCUAUUGGCCUCUGGUUUUAACGCAGGUAAUGAUACCCUUACCAUUACAUUACUACUGGUUUACUACGCAUCCGACGUGGCUUUAUUUAUUUCUUUUCGUUUGUUAUCUGCUGCUAGACGCCUCUAAGAUUGGGAUGUGAUUUGCUCCCUGCAAUGUCAGAAUGAUGUAACUCUACACAGUACACAAUUUCACUUUCAAAUUCAAAUCUUACCUCUACACGGAAUUAUUUGCUUUCAAUUUCGCUGAGCUCUCCCCUCCUCUCAAAUAUCUCAGCCCGAAUGAACCUCUCAUUGUCGCAGGCCGAGAUCAAACCUCUUGGCAUCGUCGAAGGGCGAACGAACCUCUCUAUUUGUCUCAGGUAUGGGCGAUUUGGACGAAAUCAUACCAGGGUUUGACGCUGCCGCCGCCGCCUUGCACAGCCGACCCUCCUGAGCUGCUAGGUUCUAGUUGUUUCUACUUCAAAGACAGGCAAGCAUGGACAUGCAAACUGCCACUUUGUAGCAAUCGACGUAUUUAAUAGGAAGAAGCUUGAGGAUAUUGUUCCAGUGGCUAUGGCUGAUGACAAAUGAAUACGUUUGCUUUUAUGUUUGACAGGGAUGAUAUCUUCUGGGUAUACAAUAAGUUUUCCAUAAGAUGGCCAUUUGACGUUGUAUAAAUUAGUAUUUAGAUGUGCUUAAAAUCUUGUCUUGUAA
Carya illinoinensis is the source of this 1029-nucleotide long non-coding RNA. RefSeq lists it as uncharacterized. The record is from RefSeq and is a predicted model, not a curated record. The transcript is spliced from 2 exons. NCBI's taxonomy places the organism in Eukaryota, Viridiplantae, Streptophyta, Magnoliopsida, Fagales, Juglandaceae.